ACGACCUUACUUGAACAGGAUCUGUUCUAUAGGCUCGUACCUCUGAAUCCUUGAGUUCUAAGGAGACAGGAAACUAAGUCUGGUGGAUGAAACAUGACCGAGUGACUAGAGCGUGAUUAACAGCAACCAUUCAUCUUCGGAUCUCUGGUGCAGUAGAGGAUCGUUCUCUUGCUCCUCUGUGAGCUCGAGAUGGUCACACGGUGUUCUGACAGACU
Molecule: non-coding RNA, 215 nt
Organism: Beta vulgaris subsp. vulgaris (sugar beet)
Lineage: Eukaryota; Viridiplantae; Streptophyta; Magnoliopsida; Caryophyllales; Amaranthaceae
Source: Rfam